Gallus gallus (chicken) is the source of this 1323-nucleotide long non-coding RNA. RefSeq lists it as uncharacterized. The transcript has 3 exons. The record is from RefSeq and is a predicted model, not a curated record. Lineage: Eukaryota; Metazoa; Chordata; Aves; Galliformes; Phasianidae.
AACCCAAACAACCGCACCACCCUCACUACUAACCCACCACCAGCCGCAGCGACAGUUCGUGUUUACCUGGCCGCCAUAUUGGCACCUCUGGAACACCCCGCCCGUUGAUUGGGCGCUGCCCCGCAGCCAAUCAGCCGGCGCUUUGCUGCCCUGCUCCCUGCCUCCAUGAGCUCCACGACAAUAGGGCACGGCGUGCAGUAGCGCGGCGCCAUGCGAUGCAGUGCAAUGCAACCUUGCUGCAGCCGCGACAGCUCCACAUUGGUCUCGUGUCCCCAGAUAUGCAAUUUAGGUGUGCUUCUCAGAAUAACAGCCGUGCUCUCAAGAGAAAGAUAGGUCGCUUUCCAGUAUUCAUAGUUGUGGUAGAGGAGCAUGGAAGGUAUUCAAAGCUAAACCUUCUAAUUUGUACAAGUCCCAAAUGUUUGGCAUGGGACAGUGACUAGGGCCUGCAACCUUACUCUUCAUGGAUGAGAAAAUCUUUUUAAAAUUCCCUAAAUUGUCUCAUAUUAAUGCAGUAAAUGUAAAGCCUCAAACGACCUUGUUCCAGCAAAGCUUGAAUUUCCCUUAAACUGCACCAAGAAUGUGAAAAAGGUGCCUGUCUGCCUGACAAAAAAAAUGUGAAAUGCCUGAAAAAGAUGUGAAAAAGUCACUGUGAGCAGAUUAACACCAUGUGAAGUGUCUCUGAGGCCAACAGUAACUCUCUGGAGAGCAUUCGGGAAAGUACAGAACUCAUUUGGAAGUUUCUCCUCUUUGUCCUUUCAGUGUACGUAGGUGAGACAUGAAACAAACGCUUAGUAGAGGCCUGUACGUGGUUUGGCAUGAAACCUCACAUGCAGGGGGUGACAGGAGAGGUGGAACAGAGAAAUAACAAGAAAAGGAUACCAUGAAGACGAAGAGACCUCUGGCACUGAAAUGUGUCUGAAAGAGAGGAGGGCUUGCAGCUGACCGGCUGCAAAGUAGAUCUCAGCCUUGUGCCCUCUGAGAAAGAAAUUGCUGGCACCAAGACACAGCCUACUUGUGGGAAGACGUACAGAUGUGAGGGGAGUGGGAAAGGGGCACGGAUUCCAGGAGGGAUAAAGGCAGACAGCAAGAACUUUGAGUAGGAUCACCUUGGAUCACCGAGAGUAGCAGCUGUGUAUCCAGACUCUCUGAAGGUCAGGUAGCUGUACGGUGGGUGAGCUGGCAGCUGAACUGUGCUACGCAGAUGACAUAAAUAAGAAGAUAAUUCCCAAUGACACCAACAAAAACUACUAGGGAGUAGCAGGGGAUGAUGAGUGGCUUGAAGGACUGAACAAACUGGAGCCCUGAGAAUAAAUUGCUGGCGUU